This 486-nucleotide ribosomal RNA is filed under the name uncultured bacterium. RNAcentral describes it as "partial 16S ribosomal RNA". It matches the Rfam family "Bacterial small subunit ribosomal RNA", at positions 30 to 507 of the family's 1533-position model. The record is from RNAcentral.
AUUGAACGCUGGCGGCAUGCCUUACACAUGCAAGUCGAACGGCAGCACGGGUGCUUGCACCUGGUGGCGAGUGGCGAACGGGUGAGUAAUACAUCGGAACAUGUCCUGUAGUGGGGGAUAGCCCGGCGAAAGCCGGAUUAAUACCGCAUACGAUCUACGGAUGAAAGCGGGGGACCUUCGGGCCUCGCGCUAUCGGGUUGGCCGAUGGCUGAUUAGCUAGUUGGUGGGGUAAAGGCCUACCAAGGCGACGAUCAGUAGCUGGUCUGAGAGGACGACCAGCCACACUGGGACUGAGACACGGCCCAGACUCCUACGGGAGGCAGCAGUGGGGAAUUUUGGACAAUGGGAGAAAGCCUGAUCCAGCAAUGCCGCGUGUGUGAAGAAGGCCUUCGGGUUGUAAAGCACUUUUGUCCGGAAAGAAAUCCUUGGCCCUAAUACGGUCGGGGGAUGACGGUACCGGAAGAAUAAGCACCGGCUAACUACGUG